AUUGAACGCUGGCGGCAGGCCUAACACAUGCAAGUCGAACGGUAACAGGAAGCAGCUUGCUGCUUUGCUGACGAGUGGCGGACGGGUGAGUAAUGUCUGGGAAACUGCCUGAUGGAGGGGGAUAACUACUGGAAACGGUAGCUAAUACCGCAUAACGUCGCAAGACCAAAGAGGGGGACCUUCGGGCCUCUUGCCAUCGGAUGUGCCCAGAUGGGAUUAGCUAGUAGGUGGGGUAACGGCUCACCUAGGCGACGAUCCCUAGCUGGUCUGAGAGGAUGACCAGCCACACUGGAACUGAGACACGGUCCAGACUCCUACGGGAGGCAGCAAUGGGGAAUAUUGCACAAUGGGCGCAAGCCUGAUGCAGCCAUGCCGCGUGUAUGAAGAAGGCCUUCGGGUUGUAAAGUACUUUGCAGCGGGGAGGAAGGCGAUAAGGUUAAUAACCUUGUCGAUUGACGUUACCCCAGAAGAAGCACCGCUAACUCCCA
Molecule: ribosomal RNA, 488 nt
Filed under: Enterobacter hormaechei
Lineage: Bacteria; Pseudomonadati; Pseudomonadota; Gammaproteobacteria; Enterobacterales; Enterobacteriaceae
Description: bacterial SSU rRNA
Rfam family: Bacterial small subunit ribosomal RNA
Source: RNAcentral